GAUUUCUGGCUUGAUACAUUUUGCCGGCCACGGUUUCGUGUGUUAGUGCUUUAUGUUCUGGCCAUCCUUCCAAUCGCUGCUCACUUUUCUUCAUUGAUUGGUGAGUGGUAUUGGAUCUUUUACUUUGAAAAAAUUAGAGUGUUUCAAGCAGGCUUUAUGCUAUGAAUACAUUAGCAUGGAAUAAUAAUUUAGGACUUUGGCCCUAUUUUGUUGGUUUCUAGGACUGAAGUAAUGAUUGAUAGGGAUAGUUGGGGGUGCUCGAAUUCAGCGGCCAGAGGUGAAAUUCUUGGAUUCGCUGAAGACGAACUCAUGCGAAAGCAUU
RNAcentral lists this ribosomal RNA (322 nucleotides) under uncultured Sandonidae. RNAcentral's name for it is "SSU rRNA". The stretch from base 110 to 322 matches the Rfam family "Eukaryotic small subunit ribosomal RNA", at positions 742 to 955 of the family's 1831-position model. Lineage: Eukaryota; Cercozoa; Glissomonadida; Viridiraptoridae. The record is from RNAcentral.